GACGAACGCUGGCGGCGUGCCUAAUACAUGCCAGUCGAGCGGACUGAAUGGGAGCUUGCUCUUGUUCGGUCAGCGGCGGACGGGUGAGUAACACGUGGGCAACCUGCCCGCAAGACCGGGAUAACUCCGGGAAACCGGAGCUAAUACCGGAUAACACCGAAGACCGCAUGGUCUUUGGUUGAAAGGCGGCGCAAGCUGCCACUUGCGGAUGGGCCCGCGGCGCAUUAGCUAGUUGGUGAGGUAACGGCUCACCAAGGCGACGAUGCGUAGCCGGCCUGAGAGGGUGACCGGCCACACUGGGACUGAGACACGGCCCAGACUCCUACGGGAGGCAGCAGUAGGGAAUCUUCCGCAAUGGGCGAAAGCCUGACGGAGCGACGCCGCGUGAGCGAAGAAGGCCUUCGGGUCGUAAAGCUCUGUUGUGAGGGACGAAGGAGCGCCGUUUGAAGAAGGCGGCGCGGUGACGGUACCUCACGAGGAAGCCCCGGCUAACUACGUG
RNAcentral lists this ribosomal RNA (499 nucleotides) under uncultured bacterium. RNAcentral describes it as "partial 16S ribosomal RNA". It matches the Rfam family "Bacterial small subunit ribosomal RNA", at positions 28 to 507 of the family's 1533-position model. The record is from RNAcentral.